ACAAAUGUUUUAUUAAGUUGUUCCUAGGAAUGCACAUGGUCUUGCUCUUUUUACUGAAUCAUUGGUAGUUGACUCUUUUUACUGAAUUUUUUAUGUUCUUGAUCAGUAACCUCUGCAUAUUCUAGAACGUAUAUGAUAAAAGAAUUUGUUAUUUUUGAAAGGUGUUCUCACAGGCCAUGUUAUAUCUUGAAAUACAAUACACGCCAUAACUUGCAUGUUGUUUUGUGAUUCUUGCACAAUUAGCAGAGUGAUUGCUCUAUUUUCGAAGAUAUCUCUUCAGGUAGCUGUUCGUGUUAGGAGUUAGGACCAAUGACAUUCAUACUAUUAUAUCUCUUUCUUGUAUAACAGGAUCUGUGCAUUAUUUUCCUAAGGUUAUAAUGGUUUCAGCUAAUUGCUUUUACAAAUGGGGUAACAUUAGGAAAUCACCCCUUGAGUAGGGUUAUUGCAUUUUCAUGUAUGUUGAAUUGAUUACAACAUAACAAUGAGGUUGCAACAAAAGUCUCAAACCAGGGCUAUGUGGUACAGUGCUCAGGGCUCCCAGAAUAAUCGCAUCACAAGAGGCAUUUGAAGGUCGGAAACAUGUGCAUACUGCAGUUUGCAUAAGCAGCAGACCUAACGAAUUGGUUGUAGGGUUGAGAUGUCAACUACCAAAACAGAGGAGAAGGUUCCGUUUCGUCCAUCCUUAGGUUGUCCCGAAACUUUGAUCCCGCCUCCGCCUUGGCGAGAUCUCCGCCUCUGCAUUCGCCUAACCUCUCGCGCCGCCAGCGCCAUCUCCACCUCCGCCGCCUACUCUGCCGCCCAGAACGCCCUUGUGUGCAUCACUGAGGCCCUUGCGUGCCUACACGCCCUUCACGCUGCCCACAACUCCACCAUGCUCCGCCUCUUGGAGGCUGCCCAUCUGGGCAAUGAGGUGCCGAUGCUGCGGGAUGGGGACACAGAUCCCAAACGCACCGGCUUCAUCUUCGGCGGCCGCAUGCUCAAUGACGACCCUGCCACGUCCGGCAGCAGGCUUGACUCAAGAGCAAUGCCAAGGUGCUCUCCGCCCUUGCCUCCCCUGAUUGUGGUAAGGCCAUUACCGCCUGCUCAGGAGGAGCAUACCAGUAGGCUUGUCAGGAUGGUAUGGCGGAUGGGUGGUGUGUGUGUGUCGGUCAGCACCGGGGAAUUAUCUGCAUAGACGAGAUUGUUUUAGGUUUUUUUAAAAUUAGCUAUCAUGUCUCAACUGCAGUUAAGUAUGUGUUCUCUCUUCUACCUUUCGAGGCUGAUCUUUCCUCGGUUGUACAGGUUAAUUCAAGAGCAUCGCUUGCACUCUCGAGUACGUUUGGACGGAUUUGUGUAACCAAGCUAAGGAUCACCAAGGUGAGCACGGUUUUUUCUCCCGUAUGGAUGAAAUUAUGUCGUGUUUGUUGUAUUGCUCAUAGCACCUGAUUACUCUGUCCACAGGCUCAUGAGAAUUUUGCAGCGUCAUCAUAUUUGUUCAGUAGCAUGAUAUUUCUGAAUGGCAUGAUUAGUUUCCCCAAUUUCUGAUUCUAGAUCCUAUGUUAUCUACUACAUUAAAAAUUUGUUUCGUCCCGCUAAAAACUUAAACUGAAAUUCUUCAGUUUGUAGGAAAUUUAUUUCAUGAUAUAUAUAUAUAGAUUUUUGCUAGAGCUCUGUUUCGUGAUAUAUAUAGAUUUUGCAAAAAAAAAAAAAAGCAGCAAUACACAAUUGAUUGAUCGAGUUAGUAAUGGGAAGUUGGGCAAUUCCAUGCUCUACGAACUGAAGCUGGGUUCGUAAAGUGUUCAUUAUAACAAAAGAAGUGUUAGGAGCAUUAUGUUAGUGUUGACCAACACAGCAAAAGAAAGUGAUCAUUGCAGUCGAUACCAUACUUUUUUUUACUGAUCACUGGAUCUGUGUGUUCUCCUUUAUAGCUUAGAAUGUUAUUUGUUCCAGCUGCAGAUUAGGUAGAAACGACUUAUUUGUCUCAGGAUCACUCUAAUAUCUUAUAAAUUUUUCUGUUAUCCUUUUCUAAGCAAGCAAACAUUAUUGAUGCAAGACUGCAGGGCAAACAAGGAUAUCAAUUUAUUACUUAACGUUCAAAAUUGGUGAGUAUAUACUAUACGUGAGUAUGAGAGGGCUACGAGGUGUGUGCUGUGAUUAAUAGCAUACGUCCAGUACAUAUUCUAGAAUGAGAAACCUCGUGUUCAGUCGGAGAAAAUGACUGCUGGUUGUGGAGCCAAAAAGUUAGCCCAUGUGUGUGUGGGUCGUUGCCCCUAGCUGGACUCCGGUAAGAUGAUCAAACUCCAGCCCUUACAUACUGUGAUUGAUUUUUGAUUUUUUUUUGGUUCGUACUGGUUCUUGAUUGUUCCUGGUUUGCUGGCCCUUUGUUUCGUUCGUCCGUACUGUUCAUCUGCCCCGCUAGCAAAUGCUUUCAGUUGUAUGCAAUAGCAUCCUGGUAUCAACUCCUGGCUGUUUGACCAAAAGAGCUUGUAACUUCUGUCAGCUCUGCGCACAAAGGCCGCAUGUGCUCUUGCGUGCUGGUAAAUGGCAACCCCACUAUUUCUCCACAACCUGUUUGAUUGAAAGACUUUCAUGAUUUGCAAGUUGUGUAGUGUUGCCAGGGUAGUGUUCGACAAAAUUGUUAGCAUCACAAACUUAGUUACUAAGUUGUGUGCUCGUACUCAUUUAUUUUGAGACUUGAGAUUGUCCCAGGUUCUUCAGUAUAGAGCUUCAUGCAAGUGUUUGGUUGUUCUGAUCAUGUCACUGGAACUGAUGAAAUUUUGCUUCCAUGACUCCAUGAGGCCUCUACUUCACAAGUUUUAUGCGAAGUGCAACAAAUUUAGGCUGCACAAGCUAUGCAUGUCAAUAUAUGUGCUCAAUUUGUUGGAAAUUCAAGCAUUGUUCCCAUAGCUAAGAUGAGAGAAGGGUUGACAGGAAAAACUAAGCAGCAUCACGUUUUGUAUAAAAUAGUACCUCUUCUUUCUUUUUGCGAUGUAAAACAGUAGCUAACCGAACUAUUGUGCACUAAUAGUUCCAAUCUACCAAGCCACUAUUCUUUGUACCAAAAAAUAUGGUAUGCACAAUGCAACGCACCAACGCUUGCAGCUGUGUUAUGUGCCAUCUCCGCAACUUCUGGUCUAGAAACUCUCGAUCUAAGAUCAACAUUCCUUGCUUAAUUUAACAAUGACACUAGAAAGAGGUAUGGGGUACAUUAUACCAAUGCUUCUGGUAUGCUUCUGAAUCAAUUCUCUUGAUCUAAGAUCAACACUUCAUGCUUCUUUCUACAAGUUCAGUAGUUAUAUGCUUGUAAUAUACUGAAACUUGUAUGUUGAGCUGCAGUUCCAAUAUUACACACAUUUAGUCUUGACUAAUUCAUGCUUGUUAUCAGCCUUCACCUCUCCAUUGUAGCUGCACGUACUUGAGUCUUUACCGUGAAGCAGCAAGGAUGUAUCUGGGUUAAAGUUGGGGCUUAUUGAAAGAAUUGUUAAUGGGGCAUCAAUAUACUUUGUGGAAUGUGGGCAUCAAUAUACUUUGUGCAGUGUGGGCAGUCUGGAUGGCAAGAAACAAAAAAGCAUGAUGAGUAUUACACAUGCCUAUAAAUGGGUGGGAAACAUGGCAUCAGGUUUGAUGGACGGCUAGAUCAUGGUUGAAGGAGGAAUGACUACCUAUAGUCAUCAAGUGGAGUCGUUGCCCCAUGUUGAUGCAUCUUUUAACCCAGAAACACAACAGGGUGAAGGGAGUAAUUGUACGAGAUGAAUUAGGUCAUGUGAUUGAUGUAAUGAGCAGAUGGUAUGAUGUACUCCCAAAUCUCAUAUCUGGUGAGGCUUAUGCUUGUUGAAAUGGUAUUGACAUGAUAUGUAGCAUGAACAUGCUGAAAGUGAUAAUGGAGACCGACAGCCUGAAGUUAGCUCUCUUGUGGAAGAGUUCGCGGUGUAUCAAAUUCAGGAGUCAAGUAGACCAUGUACUUGUUUUGAUGUAUGUCAUGUAAAGAAGGAGGCUAACAUGGCAACUCAUUAUGGAGCCAAAUUAGACUCUCCAUCCAAUGUUCUAACCGUUGGAUUAAGUGUUGGAGAACUGAUAUGAGAAA
This is an RNA transcript of Lolium rigidum, 4063 nucleotides long. RefSeq lists it as uncharacterized. The record is from RefSeq and is a predicted model, not a curated record. The transcript has 2 exons. NCBI's taxonomy places the organism in Eukaryota, Viridiplantae, Streptophyta, Magnoliopsida, Poales, Poaceae.